This 3314-nucleotide long non-coding RNA is filed under the name Homo sapiens (human). RNAcentral's name for it is "non-protein coding lnc-CCNA1-1:1". Lineage: Eukaryota; Metazoa; Chordata; Mammalia; Primates; Hominidae. The record is from RNAcentral.
UGGUGCUCUCCCUCCUAGAGGUUCGACAGGCGUCAGCCACGGUGGCAGGCCAGUUGAUUUCUAGCUGCCUACUGUAUUCAGUACACUAACAUGCUGUAGAGGUGUGUAGCCUAGGAGCAAGAGGCCAUACCACGACUCUCACAUCCUUCAGUGAUAGGGAUCUUAGGUGGCAUUGUUUUUUGAGAUUAUAUGAAUAAGUAGAAUCCUAGUUAUUUAUACUAUUGUAUUGUCUUAUAUGACUACACCAUGAUUAUCUGUUCUGUUGAUUUUCCCACAUCCUGUUCAGUUUCUGUUUUCCCAGUAUGUUUUUGCCACCAGAGUUAAAAUAUCUAGACAUUUUACCACUAAAACUUGGAAACGGACGUGUAUACUCUUUGCUGAGAGUGCCCUUGCUGGUGCCACAGCCAGGCUUUAUGUUCCGUGUGUCUGGACUGUGGGGAUGGGGCCCGAGGUGGGGGAGGUGCUCCUCAGAGCUCAUGCCUUUGGCCCCACUGGCAUCCUGGCUCCAGGGCAAGGCCCAUGUACAAGACCCAGGUCUCCUAGGAUGGUUUUUGUUACCCCAGGGAGGAUGUCCCAUUCAUCACAGGAUGAAUAGAAACUGACUUUAGGCAGCAAAUUGUUUAAUAUGUCCUUCAUCAGUGAUUCCUGGACUUGAUCGUGAGUUUUGAAAAACUAAAUGGUCAGUGCUCAGUGAGCCAGAGUAAUGAGGGAGAAGGCCUGAGGGGAGAAGCAUGAGGACACAGGACCUGGGAAGGAGGCCAUGGGUAACUGAGUCAAAGCAGGGUCUGUGGAUGGAAUGUUCUUGAAGAAGAUGAAGUUUUCUGAGGCAGGUAAGUUGACUGACUGAGCUGAUGGGCCCAUUCACUUGACCGGAGUAGGUGUUUGCCCAGGCCGAUGGGUACUCGCUUCUCCUUAGUUGUCUCCUCCCUUUCAGUCUGGCUGGAUAUCCUGCUGAGCAUCUCCGUGUGUUUGCUCACAUCAAUCAAGACACAAUUAUUUGCAUCAACUUGUUGCUACCUGUGAAAUUUGACUAGCUAACUGGUAAAAGGGAGAGCUAUUCCCACUUUGCAACAAACACACCAGGGAAUGGUGGAUAGUUAUGCAGUUUCAGCCCACUCACGGCAAGUGCAGAAAUGUUCUCAACUGAUUUAUAGUUCUAUUAACUUUUUAUCCUAAAUAUCCUUCCCCCUUUCCCCGGGUUUAACCCUUGACAUUGAUUGCUCUUUCCCUGCAAUAUCAAGUAUUACCUGUAGGACAGGGACUUACAUCCAUUGCAGACAUCCCAUCUUUAUGAUCAGCGUAUGGGCUAUCACAUUAAAAAACAAAACCACUUUUUCUCCCUCUGGUUUGUAAGCAAAGGGAGAAAGAGAAUACCAAAAGCUACAAUCCCAGCAGGAAAUCUGCUGUUGGGCUGCCGUAGAACAAAUGGAAUUCCUUUUAAUUACAUAGACUGUUGCAAAGUUGCACAGUACCCAAGGCUGGGAGAGCAGCCAAUCCUGGCCCUUUAUCAAGCGCAGACUCAGCUAAUGGAGACGGUGCAUCAGGACACUUACUUACAUUGAAGCUCAGAGUGGAAGCUUGGGCUCUGCACCUACAAGCUGCUGGGCUGUGCCUAUGUGUCGCCUUGCUUCUGCGAGCAGCUCGGGAUGGAGUUAGACCCAAGCAUGACAGGAAAGUACGACCAGGAUGCUUUCUGUGCUCCGCUGCCCUAGCCUCAAACUGACAUUGGAUAGACGUCUGGGUCAGGUGCUGAGGGGAGAGAAUGGGGUCAACUUGGGUUCAUCUGAUUAAGCUCAACCCUACUGGAAAGGUUUUUCUCUCCUUGCUUCAGUCUGCAAUGGAAAUAAUAACAUCCUGUUACCAACUUGUGGAGAUGAGUAUCUCAUUGUCACAGUACUGACUUUAAACUUGUGUCAUCUAAAACGUUCUUUCUGCAAUUUGGGUGCUUCUCGGCAUCUCAUUCUUUUAAGAGAAUUGAAACUGAGAAUGAAAGGAAAGUACUGGCUUUCUCCUUUCACCCAGGAAUUUAUCCUUAACAAAGACCCUUAGGCAGGAUACCUGGGUCCUAAUUCCAGCUUGGCUGUUACUUGUGUGAUGCUGGUUGCAUUUAGGUAAGCUAAUCACUUUAGCCAUCCCCAAAUCUCUGUGGUUCACCACCUUAAAGACUUAUCUCAUGUCACUCUCCAGUGUGUGUUGGGGAAAGAGAGCUUUUGCCUCCACAUGGCCAUCCUUCCCUAGGAGUCCCCGCUGGUAUUGUUGUAUUUGGCAGGUGAGGAAAGAGAAAGAACAUGACGGGGCUGGGGGGUUGGGGGACACACACAUUCUGACUGCAGGGGGCUGGGAGACAUGAUUUAGCUGCAGGCUUGGGAGGAAAGGUGAUAUGGUUUGGCUCUGUGUCUGCAAAAUAUCAUCUCAAAUUAUAAGCCCCAUAAUCCCCAUAUGUCAAGGGAGGGACCUUAUGGUAGGUGAUUGGGUUAUGGGCAGUUUCCCCCAUCCUCUUCUCCUGACAGUGGGUGAGUUCUCGUGAGACCUGAUGGUUUUAUAAGCCCCUUCACAUGCUCUUUCUCUCUCUUCUGCUGUCUUGUGAAGGUGCUUGCUUCCCCUUUGCCUUCCACCAUGAUUGUAAGUUUCCUGAGGCCUCCCCAGCCAUGUGGAACUGUGAGUCAAUUAAACCUCCUUUCUUUAUAAAUUACCCAGUCUCAGGUAAAAAAAAAUGGACCAGUACAAAAGGGGAAUUUAGUGUUGAUAAACAGCCUGUGUUCGCCACAGUGGGCAUCUCACUUAGUGUCCCAAACUUCUGUCUCUUCGUGAAUGAUAAAUUUGAUUGGGUCAGUAUUUUUCAGUUUUGAGCUACUGAUCCAUUUUUACUAUUUCUUCCAUAUCUAGAUGUCACCUUUAAAAUGACUUACUUUAACUUGGGCCGGGCACAGUGGCUCAAGCCUGUAAUCCCAGCACUUUGGGAGGCAGAGGCAGGCGGAUCACGAGGUCAGGAGAUCGAGACCAUCCUGGCUAACACGGUGAAACCCUGUCUCUACUAAAAAUACAAAAAAUUAGCUCGGCAUGGUGGCGGGCGCCUGUAGUCCCAGCUACUCAGGAGGCUGAGGCAGGCGAAUGGCGUGAAACUGGGAGGCGGAGCUUGCAGUGAGCAGAGAUCACGCCACCGCACUCCAGCCUGGGCGACAGAGCGAGACUCCGUCUCAAAAAAAAAAAAAACAAAAAACCCAAAAAAGACUUACUUUAACUUAACAUCUUCUUAGCAGUAAUAUUCCUGAAAUAAUGGAUGUGAUAUGCUAGUUACAUGUUUUCUAACACAU